Molecule: ribosomal RNA, 494 nt
Filed under: uncultured bacterium
Lineage: Bacteria
Description: partial 16S ribosomal RNA
Rfam family: Bacterial small subunit ribosomal RNA
Source: RNAcentral
GACGAACGCUGGCGGCGUGCUUGACACAUGCAAGUCGAACGGAAAGGCCUGCUUUCCCUUGUGGAUUGCGGGUACUCGAGUGGCGAACGGGUGAGUAACGCGUGAGUGAUCUGCCCCCAACUUGGGUAUAAGCCUGGGAAACUGGGUCUAAUUCCCGAUAGGACUGCAGGGUGGUGCCUGUGGUGGAAAACGAUUUUCUAGUGGUUGGGGAUGAGCUCGCGGCCUAUCAGCUUGUUGGUGGGGUAAUGGCCUACCAAGGCGGCGACGGGUAGCCGGCCUGAGAGGGUGGACGGCCACAUUGGGACUGAGAUACGGCCCAGACUCCUACGGGAGGCAGCAGUGGGGAAUAUUGCACAAUGGGCGGAAGCCUGAGGCAGCGACGCCGCGUGGGGGAUGACGGCCUUCGGGUUGUAAACUCCUUUCGACCGCGAGGAAGCCACCUGGUUGGAAGGGUGGUGACGGUAGUGGUAGAAGAAGCACCGGCUAACUACGUG